AUUGAACGCUGGCGGCAGGCUUAACACAUGCAAGUCGAGCGGAGCGAGGGUGCUUGCACCUUAGCUUAGCGGCGGACGGGUGAGUAAUGCUUAGGAAUCUGCCUAUUAGUGGGGGACAACAUUCCGAAAGGGAUGCUAAUACCGCAUACGCCCUACGGGGGAAAGCAGGGGAUCUUCGGACCUUGCGCUAAUAGAUGAGCCUAAGUCGGAUUAGCUAGUUGGGGGGGUAAAGGCCUACCAAGGCGACGAUCUGUAGCGGGUCUGAGAGGAUGAUCCGCCACACUGGGACUGAGACACGGCCCAGACUCCUACGGGAGGCAGCAGUGGGGAAUAUUGGACAAUGGGCGGAAGCCUGAUCCAGCCAUGCCGCGUGUGUGAAGAAGGCCUUUUGGUUGUAAAGCACUUUAAGCGAGGAGGAGGCUACUAGUAUUAAUACUACUGGAUAGUGGACGUUACUCGCAGAAUAAGCACCGGCUAACUCCGUGCCAGCAGCCGCCGUAA
Molecule: ribosomal RNA, 501 nt
Filed under: uncultured bacterium
Lineage: Bacteria
Description: partial 16S ribosomal RNA
Rfam family: Bacterial small subunit ribosomal RNA
Source: RNAcentral